This 465-nucleotide ribosomal RNA is filed under the name uncultured bacterium. RNAcentral describes it as "partial 16S ribosomal RNA". It matches the Rfam family "Bacterial small subunit ribosomal RNA", at positions 28 to 507 of the family's 1533-position model. The record is from RNAcentral.
GACGAACGCUGGCGGCGUGCUUAACACAUGCAAGUCGAACGGAAAGGCCCUGCUUGCAGGGUACUCGAGUGGCGAACGGGUGAGUAACACGUGGGUGAUCUGCCCUCCACUUCGGGAUAAGCCUGGGAAACUGGGUCUAAUACCGGAUAGGAGCCACUUUUUGCGUGAUGGUUGGAAAGUUCUUUCGGUGUAGGAUGAGCUCGCGGCCUAUCAGCUUGUUGGGGGGGUAAUGGCCUACCAAGGCGGCGACGGGUAGCCGGCCAGAGGGGGUGGGCGGCGACAUUGAGACCGACGUGCGGCCCAGAUGCGGACUGGUGGCCAAAGGGGGGAAGAUUGCACAAUGGGCGCAGGGCUGGUGCAGCGGCGCCGCGGGUGGGAUAACGGCCUUGUUGUGGAAGACACGUUGCACUAGGAACGAAGGUUGUUGUGACGGUACCUAGAGAAGAAGCACCGGCUAACUACGUG